UGCCGGUGACAAACCGGAGGAAGGUGGGGAUGACGUCAAAUCAUCAUGCCCCUUAUGAUUUGGGCUACACACGUGCUACAAUGGACAAUACAAAGGGCAGCGAAACCGCGAGGUCAAGCAAAUCCCAUAAAGUUGUUCUCAGUUCGGAUUGUAGUCUGCAACUCGACUACAUGAAGCUGGAAUCGCUAGUAAUCGUAGAUCAGCAUGCUACGGUGAAUACGUUCCCGGGUCUUGUACACACCGCCCGUCACACCACGAGAGUUUGUAACACCCGAAGCCGGUGGAGUAACCUUUUAGGAGCUAGCCGUCGAAGGUGGGACAAAUGAUUGGGGUGAAGUCGUAACAAGGUAGCCGUAUCGGAAGGUGCGGCUGGAUCCCCUCCUUUCUAAGGA
This 392-nucleotide ribosomal RNA is filed under the name Staphylococcus aureus. RNAcentral describes it as "bacterial SSU rRNA". It matches the Rfam family "Bacterial small subunit ribosomal RNA", at positions 1150 to 1533 of the family's 1533-position model. The record is from RNAcentral. Lineage: Bacteria; Bacillati; Bacillota; Bacilli; Caryophanales; Staphylococcaceae.